Non-coding RNA from Cricetulus griseus (Chinese hamster), 1130 nucleotides. The record is from RefSeq and is a predicted model, not a curated record. NCBI's taxonomy places the organism in Eukaryota, Metazoa, Chordata, Mammalia, Rodentia, Cricetidae.
AAGCUUCUUAUACGCUACCUUUCAGUUUUGAGUGAGGGUGGGCUUACGGAUCCCCGCUGUCCAAGAUCACACCCCUUCUAGUGAUUCUCUUUCCCGCCCAUCUGCCAGUCCCCAAGGGGUGUUUCCGUUACUCUCUGGAUGGUUCCAAGUUAGCCGCCAAAGGGAGCGGCCUGUCCCGAGCCCCGCCUGGACCCCGGCUCAGAAAACACCCCCACUUUGUUUGUUUCUAGACUGAUGUGACGUCCAACACUACAGGUUGGGAAAUGUUUUACUAAGCUCCUUCCAGGGCAAUUUCCCUACUGCUGGAUAAAGACAUGAGGAUGCUAGGAAUCUCUUCAGCUACUAAGGAGUUAGUUCGGGCCAUAAAAAUUUAUUUUAAACGUGUUUAUUCGACACACGGUUUCUCUGCUGUCCUGGAACUCUAUAGACUAGGCCUGCCUCGAACUCAAGAGAUCCACCUGACUCUGCCUCCCAAAUGCUGGGAUUAUAGGCCGUUGCUACCAUGCCUAGCUACUCUUUUAAACUUUUAAAAAAACAGACUACAACCAACAAGGUAAGAUUUAUACUAGGCAGGGAAGAGUAACUACUGAAGCAUCUUGGAAAAGAACAAAGACUCUAUAGUUAGAAUCAGUGGUGCAGGCUCAAGAGGCAGAGACCGGUGGAUCUCAGUAUGAAGCCAACCUGGUCUACACAACGAGUUCAAUGCCAGCCUGAGCUACAUGAGACCUGGACACACCCUCACUUCCCAAGCCAUACUUGCAGUUUGGGAAGUCUGAAGCCGAACGAAUCUCUUGAAUCCUUGGCAAUACGCCUUCGAGCCUGCUAGAAGAGGCCCAGUUGGUACGGUAAUACUUAUUCACCAAGCUGGUCAUCGACGAGAGUGAGGAUAUCCUAGACGGAGCAAGAAUGGGCAGAGGCUGAAGAAUCUACUGUGAAGUUUACUUUUCAAGCACAGAAAAUUCGGUCUACAUAGCCUCUUUUACAAGGCAGCAUUUUUUUAAACCUUAAAAUAGAGAAAAAUGAAAAGUGGACAAGAAAACUUUGGAUAUAAGAUGGUGAGUUGAUUCUAUUCCUGUUCAGUUGUCUUCCCCACUACCCACUGUCCUGGUCUAAAAAAAAAAAAAAAAAAA